CGCAGUAGGAUAGGCGAAGCGUGCGAUUGGAUUGCACGUCUAAGCAGUAAGGCUGAGUAUUAGGCAAAUCCGGUACUCGUUAAGGCUGAGCUGUGAUGGGGAGAAGACAUUGUGUCUUCGAGUCGUUGAUUUCACACUGCCGAGAAAAGCCUCUAGAUAGAAAAUAGGUGCCCGUACCGCAAACCGACACAGGUAGUCAAGAUGAGAAUUCUAAGGUGAGCGAGCGAACUCUCGUUAAGGAACUCGGCAAAAUGACCCCGUAACUUCGGGAGAAGGGGUGCUCUUUAGGGUUAACGCCCAGAAGAGCCGCAGUGAAUAGGCCCAAGCGACUGUUUAUCAAAAACACAGGUCUCUGCUAAACCGUAAGGUGAUGUAUAGGGGCUGACGCCUGCCCGGUGCUGGAAGGUUAAGAGGAGUGGUUAGCUUCUGCGAAGCUACGAAUCGAAGCCCCAGUAAACGGCGGCCGUAACUAUAACGGUCCUAAGGUAGCGAAAUUCCUUGUCGGGUAAGUUCCGACCCGCACGAAAGGCGUAACGAUUUGGGCACUGUCUCAACGAGAGACUCGGUGAAAUCAUAGUACCUGUGAAGAUGCAGGUUACCCGCGACAGGACGGAAAGACCCCGUGGAGCUUUACUGUAGCCUGAUAUUGAAAUUCGGCACAGCUUGUACAGGAUAGGUAGGAGCCUUUGAAACGUGAGCGCUAGCUUACGUGGAGGCGCUGGUGGGAUACUACCCUAGCUG
RNAcentral lists this ribosomal RNA (741 nucleotides) under Staphylococcus aureus. RNAcentral describes it as "partial 23S ribosomal RNA". It matches the Rfam family "Bacterial large subunit ribosomal RNA", at positions 1473 to 2211 of the family's 2925-position model. Lineage: Bacteria; Bacillati; Bacillota; Bacilli; Caryophanales; Staphylococcaceae. The record is from RNAcentral.